AGAAAAGCGAUGAAGAGAAGAGUAGAUCAAGUGAAUUCUUAUACAGAGAGCUUCGGUAGCUGAAAAGAAGCAAGGAAUAAUUGAUUGAACAUGGUCUCUGAGCUGCAUAUCUGAGCUUUUAAGUAAAGGUAUGACGAGAUUUGACACUCGUUAUCUAUGUCAUAGUAUAAGAACAUGUUGUCUAUUGUUCCGUACUAAUGGAGGCUAUUCAUGUGAAUGAUUAGUGAACAAAGGUGGUAACACGAGUAUACCCUCGUCCUUUGA
This 264-nucleotide non-coding RNA is filed under the name Virgibacillus chiguensis. RNAcentral's name for it is "T-box sequence". It matches the Rfam family "T-box leader". Rfam says of the family: Uncharged tRNA acts as the effector for transcription antitermination of genes in the T-box leader family. T-boxes are found upstream of many aminoacyl-tRNA synthetase genes and some amino acid biosynthetic genes usually in Gram-positive bacteria. Lineage: Bacteria; Bacillati; Bacillota; Bacilli; Caryophanales; Bacillaceae. The record is from RNAcentral.